This is a long non-coding RNA of Triplophysa rosa, 1124 nucleotides long. RefSeq lists it as uncharacterized. The record is from RefSeq and is a predicted model, not a curated record. NCBI's taxonomy places the organism in Eukaryota, Metazoa, Chordata, Actinopteri, Cypriniformes, Nemacheilidae. The transcript is spliced from 4 exons.
AGAUAAAAAAACAACUGGAGGUGCAGCGUGUCAGUCUAAUUGAUUCUUUUCACCAUCGCAGAGAAAAUCACUGUCGCAGUUGUGUGCCUGUGGUUGAAGAAGACAGAAGAAUACAACAAACGGAAACAUUGAAUGGCAGAGAGGAUUUAGUGUGACACAUCGGUGGAAUGCUAAGACGAGACUGAGUGCUUGCCCUGCCGCGGUUUAGAAAGGUACCGAGGGUCCGGGCGGAUAACGCUUCACAUCAUCAGAAGAAAACUGAGCAAUCACCUUCUGCCGAGAUUAUGCAGAUGAGGCAGCCGCACUCGUCCUGGAACGCUCUGAACAUGUUGGUGUAAACAGAGUGUGGACGGCUUACAUGCUGACAAGAUGCUCCUCUCCAUUGCAACGUCGCCCGGGGCCGCCAAAGAAGGAGGCACGUUUCCUCAAUACAGACCCUGUUUAACAGCCAAUACGGCGCUGUUUUAAGCUUUUCUCCUCACCCACACAGGAAAGGAAGGUUUAUAGAAGCGAUUAUAUGUAGUCACCACAUACCUUUUGAAAACACGGCUACUGUAAAGCCACUCAAAGGGUUGAAUAGACUGAAGGCCUCGGCUAGAUUCGUUUCAAGCUGUUUUUGUUUAGAGAUCGUGCACUUGCUUUGCUCUGAGACUUUCAGCAUAACUCCAUCUAUGCCCCGGGUUUUUUGAGUUUGUGGUGGACCACUCUUUUAUACUGUACAAUGGUUGCGGCCGUAGAUACAAAUAAAAAAUGGCUAGAUUUCAAGAUUUUCAAGGUCCCAUCUUUCACCAAGAAACAUUCCAGGUGAUUCAAAUGGUUUCUCUUGAUGCUUGUGGUAUUUCUACAGCUUGGAAGAACGCGAGCACUUUGAUGAAACUCUUUAAUUCUAUCACUUCAAAGACCUAGUGAUUUUGAAGAGGAUCAAAUAUGAUGUAUGGAAGAAGAAGGUGCUUGCUUUUCUAGGUCAAGGAACCUCAAGUCCGCUCUGAGCUUGGAGGAAUUUCACUUUCAACCUGAUAUGAACCAAGACUAUACGUGGUUCCUGCACAGCAGACAUGCGGUCCCGUGUAUAGCAUGCCUAAUAGAAUAGAAUACACGCUCACUGCAAUAUUCAUCAUAGAAAG